This 896-nucleotide ribosomal RNA is filed under the name Hypoderma sp. (in: ascomycete fungi). Its description in RNAcentral is "Hypoderma sp. (in: Fungi) partial large subunit ribosomal RNA". It matches the Rfam family "Eukaryotic large subunit ribosomal RNA", at positions 65 to 978 of the family's 3401-position model. The record is from RNAcentral. Lineage: Eukaryota; Fungi; Ascomycota; Leotiomycetes; Rhytismatales; Rhytismataceae.
CCAACAGGGAUUGCCUCAGUAACGGCGAGUGAAGCGGCAACAGCUCAAAUUUGAAAGCUGGCUCCUUCGGGGCCCGCGUUGUAAUUUGUAGAGGAUGUUUCGGGCGUGGCGCCGGUCUAAGUUCUUUGGAACAAGACGUCAUAGAGGGUGAGAAUCCCGUAUGUGACUGGUGGCCUACGCCCAUGUGAAACUCCUUCGACGAGUCGAGUUGUUUGGGAAUGCAGCUCAAAAUGGGAGGUGUAUUUCUUCUAAAGCUAAAUAUUGGCCAGAGACCGAUAGCGCACAAGUAGAGUGAUCGAAAGAUGAAAAGCACUUUGGAAAGAGAGUUAAACAGUACGUGAAAUUGUUGAAAGGGAAGCGCUUGCAAUCAGACUUGCACGGCGUCGAUCAGCCUGGGUUCUCCCUGGUGUACUCGGCGCCGUUCAGGCCAGCAUCAGUUUCGGCGGUGGGAUAAAGGCUCGGGGAAUGUGAGUUGCUUCGGCGACUGUUAUAGCCCCGGGUGCAAUGCCGCCUGCCGGGACUGAGGACCGCGCUUCGGCUAGGAUGCUGGCGUAAUGGUUGUAAGCGACCCGUCUUGAAACACGGACCAAGGAGUCUAACAUUUAUGCGAGUGUUUGGGUGUCAAACCCAUACGCGUAAUGAAAGUGAACGGAGGUGAGAACCCUUAAGGGUGCAUCAUCGACCGAUCCUGAUGUCUUCGGAUGGAUUUGAGUAAGAGCAUAACUGUUGGGACCCGAAAGAUAGUGAACUAUGCCUGAAUAGGGUGAAGCCAGGGGAAACCCUGGUGGAGGCUCGCAGAGGUUCUGACGUGCAAAUCGAUCUUCAAAUUUGGGUAUAGGGGCGAAAGACUAAUCGAACUAUCUAGUAGCUGGUUCACGCCGAAGUUUCCCUCAGGA